This 427-nucleotide non-coding RNA is filed under the name Pongo abelii (Sumatran orangutan). The record is from RNAcentral. Lineage: Eukaryota; Metazoa; Chordata; Mammalia; Primates; Hominidae.
AUUGGAUGAUGUCAUGGAAAUGUCAAAGAAAGAGUGACACCUGAGAGAAAAUUUGAAAGAUGAAAGCAGAUGCACUAAAAAGGCCAAUCAGUCAUCCAGACAAGAAUUUACCUCAUGAGAGUCAACUGUGCGCAUCUCUUCCCAACAUUGUGAUUGGUUAUGUCAUGUUGAUAGCUUGAAAUCGGACAUAGUAUGUUCAUUUACACCCCAGAAGUCUCAGGUACUACAAACUAAACCUUCCCCUCUCUCAUCCCCCAGCGCUGUUAAUAUGGAAACUGGUCUAAUAUGGAAAACAGGUGAACAUGGAGCUGCUUUGUUUGACUCAGGGAUGAGAGAUACCCAGGUCCUAAUUACUUGUCUUUAACUUUCCUUAGGGAGUACUAAUUUGGGAGUCAUUGUUCUAAACAAUUAAAGUGAAGUAACUGUC